Long non-coding RNA from Gorilla gorilla gorilla (western lowland gorilla), 559 nucleotides. RefSeq lists it as uncharacterized. The transcript has 2 exons. NCBI's taxonomy places the organism in Eukaryota, Metazoa, Chordata, Mammalia, Primates, Hominidae. The record is from RefSeq and is a predicted model, not a curated record.
ACUGCAUUUGAUCUCAGCAGUCCUAACACUACAACAACUUAUAUUAAAUUUUCACCAACUUGGUCAAAACACCUGGUUGAAAAUGGCUGACGACAGAUACCAGACAGCCACCCUCUCCAGAAAGAAGAGCCAAAAUUAGGAAUAAAAAUACCUCAAAUAGAAGAGAACACUAGAGUCCAAGGGUGAAUUCACAGCAAACACCAGAGGCAUAGAAAGAGAAGAAAGGAAGCAGCCAGCUUAACCAAGAUCAACCAAGAGCCCCGAGGGACUCCCUAUUACAGGAAAACGGUCCUGAAUUCCAGCAGAAUGGCUGAAGCCAACCAGUCUCAAGACCUCAACCAAGGAACCAACCAACUCUGCACAGGAAUGCGGUUUCUUCAUCUCCCUGUCCCAGGAAUUCACCCCUUGCUUCUUGACCAAUCAGCAAUCCCCACAUUUUAGCCCUACCUGUUCAGACCCUUUACAAGCUCCAUCUCCAAACCCUGGAGGGAGGAGGAUUUGAAGGUUCCUCCGUCUCAUUUGACUGCCCUACAAUUAUUAAACUCUUUCUCUACUGCAA